This 337-nucleotide unclassified non-coding RNA is filed under the name soil metagenome. RNAcentral describes it as "partial contains 5.8S ribosomal RNA, internal transcribed spacer 2, and large subunit ribosomal RNA". The stretch from base 1 to 120 matches the Rfam family "5.8S ribosomal RNA", at positions 35 to 154 of the family's 154-position model. The record is from RNAcentral.
GAUGAAGAACGUAGCGAAAUGCGAUAAGUAAUGUGAAUUGCAGAAUUCAGUGAAUCAUCGAAUCUUUGAACGCACCUUGCGCUCCUUGGUAUUCCGAGGAGCAUGCCUGUUUGAGUGUCAUUUGUACCUUCAAGCUCUGCUUGGUGUUGGGUGUUUGUCUCGCCUCUGCGUGUAGACUCGCCUUAAAACAAUUGGCAGCCGGCGUAUUGAUUUCGGAGCGCAGUACAUCUCGCGCUUUGCACUCAUAACGACGACGUCCAAAAGUACAUUUUUACACUCUUGACCUCGGAUCAGGUAGGGAUACCCGCUGAACUUAAGCAUAUCAAUAAGCGGAGGA